This 3489-nucleotide ribosomal RNA is filed under the name Triticum aestivum (bread wheat). RNAcentral describes it as "partial small subunit ribosomal RNA". The record is from RNAcentral. Lineage: Eukaryota; Viridiplantae; Streptophyta; Magnoliopsida; Poales; Poaceae.
AUGGCGGACGAGGAGUUAACUGAUAUCAUGGUAGACAUGGAGUUCGGAGAACUGAUGAAAGACUGGAUAGAAGAUUGGUCAGAUGAUGAAAAUUCAGAUCAUGGAGAUCGGUCAGAGAAUGGGAACGAAUGGGACGAUCUUAAUAUGGAUGAGCUUGAUGAUGGUCAGGAAAACAACUCGGAGCUCUCGAAUGAAGAUUACAUUAGUGAGCUCAUUUCCGAAUGUCAUAAUGCGUACGACUAUUACGGUAAAUCAGACACGGAGACAGGCCUUAACGACGAAUCAUUAGAUGCACCUGAUUCUGGGGAGUUGCAGUUGUCGGUUAUCAUAAGUGAGAUAAUGAAAAUGACUUUUAUGUCUCACGAUGUUGCGUAUGAUUUCUACAACAACUAUCCUAGAGAUAAUGGUUUCAGCAUUAGAAAGAAUAAGGUCAGGGAGAAGAGGAAGCUGCUUUCAAAAGGUGAUGCUGCCACAGCCAUAGGCAUCAUGGCCAAUAGGAAACAGAGGGAUCCUAACUUCUUUUUUGAGUACAAGCUAGAUAAGGAAGGACAUUUGAAUAGGAUGUUCUGGUACGACUCCCAGUCUCGUCAUGACUAUGAGGACUUCGGCGAUGUGCUUGUAUUUGACAGCACGUACAAGAUGAACCGCUAUGGGGAAAGAAUGAAAUAUAGCCAGGAUAAUUUGAGCAAGCAAACAAAUGACCUCAGUAAGUGUGCAGUUGAAUAUGUGGACGAUGGUGAAGGCAACAUGAUUGUAGUUAAAGAUCCUAUGAAAGUGUCAAGCAAAGGUGCAACAAAGGUGUGCGGCUGGUUCCCCAGCACGGAGAUGUUGGUCAACCACGCGCGUAGCCUCGUCAAAGUCCUCACCGACGGCAAGAAGAAGCGUGCCUUCCCCUACGGUCGCGGCGUCUCGCCGGCUCUCCUCGUCGUCUGGGCAAUGCGAGAGGCCACACUGAGCGACUCCCCUGUUCAGCGCGCAAGGUGGUGGAUAUACCGCUCCACCACCAUGCCGCAGCGGCCAGAUCCAGCAUGCGUCGCGUCAAGGGUGGAGCGCGCCCACGUCGAGCUCGCUCUCCCAGCGCCCGCCAGCCCGGGCUACCAGGUACUGGUCAUCCAUGAUGACGAUGAAGAGGGCGAGGAGGACGCCGUGCAGAUGGUAGCGCUGGUCGCCGUCGAGGGUGGCAAGACAAUGCCCAUCGACGUCGAGCUCCUUCCCCUACUCCCUGACAUAGUGAAGGUGGAAGAAGAGGAGGUGGCUCAGAAUCAGGUGGCGCAACUGUCGAAGAGGACGGCGGUCAAGAAGAAGAAUUCUACGUGUGUGCCUCGGAGGGGGCUCAUCUCGUGCCUGCACAGCCUUAACUGCCGCGACGAGCACGCGCCUCUUCCACACGACGACGAUUUGCAAGAAGCCACGCGCGAGCUCAUCGUCGGUUUCUACGACAAGGCGUUCCGCCGGCUCCGGCUGCCCUGCAAGGCCCUGCCCGGCCUCUACGGCAUCCUCAGCACCGCCGGCCUCUGCCUCGGCCUCCUCGACCCCGUCUCCAACAUCAUGCUCAACACCCUCGCCCUCCUAAACCCCAAAACCAAGCCCCUCAGCGCCGCCGCCGCCGCCGCCGCCAAGACGGGGUCCAAGAAGAGACACAGACCCGGUUUCGACCCCUGGCACGAGGUUGCAACCAGGUCCUGCCACAGUCUCAUGGCUUUCCUUGUGGCGUACUUUGGAUGCCUCAACGAGGAACAGGCAUUCCGCUACCUCUACAGGGCCGGCGCCAAUCUCCGCCUCGCCGUCAUGCUCGUCCAGCACGAUCUCUACCAUGCAGAGCCAGAGGCACUGGACCCUGAAUCCGACAGGACGCAGGCUGCCCUCAAGUGGGCGGCCACCUCAGCAGGUCACCAUUCGCCCAACACCUUGGCUCAGGUCAUGGCAAUCCGGCUCAAAAAUGGCGACCUCGACCUCUUCAAGAACAAGCUCUUCUCAGCCCAUGGCACCCCUCUCACGGUUGAGGAUGUGCGAGCAAUCCAUCGCGUGUUGCACAUGAUGAUGACCCCCAUGUGUGUUGCCAACAUCAGCCACACCAAAGACGGGAUGGUUGUCCAUGUCCGUCAGAAGCUCGAAGAUGGAGGCGAUGGCGCCAUCUGGUCCGAAACUAAGCACGUUGUCGUCUCUGGUGCACCAGCUGACGCCAGGAUCACCUCCACCAUCUUCCACUGGGACGGGACCGCAGUUUCGUCUCUGCAGCUUGGACUGCCUGACAAGCUGCAAGAUUGCCUGAGGAUAGCAGAUGGCCAGAAACACAUUCUCAAGACCACGUGCAGUGACGACGCCUGCGAUUACCUGCUCUCUCUCAAGAUGAACCUACAUGGCAUGAUUCACAACCUCUAUGUCCAGGCGCUCAAGUUGCUGCCCGCACCCUCGGGCUCGCUCAUGCGCAACAUCCUUAUGGCCGGCCACUGCUAUGGCCCAUGUGACCCUCUCUCCAACAUCAUCCUUAACUCAAUCUGGUAUGACACAUGUGGCUCCGUUCUGUCAGUUUCUGACCGCACGACGUUGAAUGAGUACAAUGAUGUCCUGGACCCCCUAUCUGUGCUCCGCCUAGUUGUUCGUUCCCUCGAGGGGCUUGCAAAGCUUGCCUUGUUCGCCGACCCCCAAUCCUCAAUUGUGUGUGCUCUAGAGAAACUCUGCAGUGCAAAAUGCGACCUUGUUGACAUGUUAUCAUCUACAAAUAAGAGGUCUGAAAAGAACCCCUUCCACGAGGCGGCCAUGGCUGCUAAACACCCGAUGCCCCUUCAGCUCGGUGAAUUUCACCGGAUGCUGCUGCUCGUGCCCGAUGGCCGAAGCAAGCUGCUCUCACAUAUAACCAAGGCGCAAACUAGUGGUGCUGUGUUGUGGGUCGAUGACAUCAGAGCCCUUAUGUCGGCCUUGUGGUUGGAGUUCAAAAAAACAUCCAGGUUUCAAACUAGUGGCACUGUGCAAGCUUCUGCUCCUGAACUUUGUGUAGAGGCCGCCUUGAGGGUGGUAUCAAGCGCGAGAUCACAAUAUGAGGAGGAGAGGAGCUGGUUGCGUCCAAAGAUUAAACAUGUGCUCAAGGAUUACACACACCAACAUUUUUGGGGACCAAAGUAUAAACUUGAUUUUAUAUUUGGUGUGGAGGAAAGCGACCAUGGCCGGCAGCCCUUCACUGAUACGUGCCACCACGUGAACUUCAUGGCAACUUGUGAUGAGAAUGUUUCGAGGACCCUAUUUUACGCCGAGUUGUGGUCCUCACCCUCACGUAAGCCAAGGACAGAAUUCUGCUGCCCUCUAUCGUAUGCAUAUGCGGGGCGUUGCUACUAUGACAUGGAUUGCGCAAGGAAGAUCGUGUAUCCGGAUGACGCCAAGUACAUCCCUGACGAUAUCACCAGUGAGGGAACCGGCAGUGUGGAUGGCGUGCUAAAGAUGGACCUCGUGCACUUCAGCUCCGAGUUGGACGUGGAGCUCGCGCGGAAGUAA